CCUACGGGAGGCAGCAGUAGGGAAUCUUCCGCAAUGGACGAAAGUCUGACGGAGCAACGCCGCGUGAACGAUGAAGGCCUUCGGGUCGUAAAGUUCUGUUGUUAGGGAAGAACAAGUGCUAGUUGAAUAAGCUGGCACCUUGACGGUACCUAACCAGAAAGCCACGGCUAACUACGUGCCAGCAGCCGCGGUAAUACGUAGGUGGCAAGCGUUGUCCGGAAUUAUUGGGCGUAAAGCGCGCGCAGGCGGUUUCUUAAGUCUGAUGUGAAAGCCCCCGGCUCAACCGGGGAGGGUCAUUGGAAACUGGGAAACUUGAGUGCAGAAGAGGAAAGUGGAAUUCCAAGUGUAGCGGUGAAAUGCGUAGAGAUUUGGAGGAACACCAGUGGCGAAGGCGACUUUCUGGUCUGUAACUGACGCUGAGGCGCGAAAGCGUGGGGAGCAAACAGGAUUAGAUACCCUGGUAGUCCACGCUGUAAACGAUGAGUGCUAAGUGUUAGAGGGUUUCCGCCCUUUAGUGCUGAAGUUAACGCAUUAAGCACUCCGCCUGGGGAUACGGUCGCAAGACUGAAAACUCAAAAGAUAGUACGGCGNGNGAGAGCGACGACGACGACGACGGAGGAGGAG
RNAcentral lists this ribosomal RNA (624 nucleotides) under uncultured bacterium. Its description in RNAcentral is "bacterial SSU rRNA". It matches the Rfam family "Bacterial small subunit ribosomal RNA", at positions 338 to 955 of the family's 1533-position model. The record is from RNAcentral.